This 276-nucleotide ribosomal RNA is filed under the name uncultured bacterium. RNAcentral's name for it is "partial 16S ribosomal RNA". It matches the Rfam family "Bacterial small subunit ribosomal RNA", at positions 335 to 600 of the family's 1533-position model. The record is from RNAcentral.
ACUCCUACGGGAGGCAGCAGUGGGAAUAUUGCACAAUGGGCGCAAGCCUGAUGCAGCCAUGCCGCGUGUGUGAAGAAGGCCUUCGGGUUGUAAAGCACUUUCAGUAAGGAGGAAAGGUUAGUAGUUAAUACCUGCUAGCUGUGACGUUACUUACAGAAGAAGCACCGGCUAACCUCCGCUGCCAGCAGCCGCAGGUAAUAGCGGAGGGUGCGAGCGUUAAUCGGAAUUACUGGGCGUAAAGCGUACGCAGGCGGUUUGUUAAGCGAGAUGUGAAAG